GCAGAGAUCAUCCACAGUAGCGCCAGCUUCCUAGCCCUCCAUUUCGCCGUGGAUUUCUUCAGGUUAAUGAGAUCUGAUUCUUCCCCCAGCGCAAGGCCUAACCUUCGUGGUUAUGUCAACAGUGCUCUGGCAUGGUUGAUAAGUGAUAACCAACAGGUUGUGGGUUUGUGGUGUUGCGAUUGCAGGGUUUGGAUCAUUUUUAAUCUAAAGAUGGACUGUCAAGUUGAGUCUACCCUCAGGCAAUAAGAUAUAUCAUCAUAUCUUUUCGAAAGAUUGGACUUGGGUUCUUUGUCAAUGCUUCCCAUUAAAGAAAAUCCAAAAAAAUCAGAAGAGCGGCCUUUUAUAUAAAUUUAUAAAUAAUUUGUUAUUGAAUAGUAAUGAAUUAAGAUUACAGAUUGUCUAGGAGUCUAGUACUAUCCCAGCAGUAUGCAUGAAAAUGCAUAACUGAUAAAAAAAAUUCCUCAGCUCAACCCGCACACACCUCUGGAUAUCGUUUCUUUAUCUUACGAUAUCACAUAUCUGAGUUGUCUAAUAUUUAUACGUACGUCGUGUCUAAAGUACAUCACUUCGUGUUUCUAGCCCCAAUUUAUUAUUGAAUUCGGUGCUGAACUGAUUGAAAGCUGAAAAUAAUUCAACUGGGGGAAUGGAUCCUGUGCCUGUAUCAGCUGAUUUUUGUUAUUGAGAUCCAUGCAUGGCGGAAAUUUAUCAAGAAAUCCUUGUGGCCCUCUCCUCUAUGGCACAAUCUCAAUUCAUAUCCACACCAAAAUCUUUGAACCACAUGCACCGUUGGCAAUAGUAGGGACAAAUAGGAACGGUAUGCAUGCCAUCACUACACCAGAAAAGUUUUUCCCUGACGGACAAAUCCGUCACGGAAAGGUCCGAAAACCGUCACGGAUGAUCUUCUGUGACGGUUACCGUCACGGAUGAUACGUCAGGGGCUGACUGACGGGGAAAAUAGGCUUUCCCUGACGGAAAACCGUCAGGAAUCAUUCCGUGAUGCUUUCAGCCGUCACAGAAGAUUUUUCCUGUCAGUGUUUUGAAAACCAUCAGAAAAAGGUUUCCUUGUCGGUUGACGUAUCGUCAGGGAAAGUUUAAACUUUUCCCGUCGGUCUUUCACCAUUAGGAGAGGGUUUUCCCGUCGGCUUUUGACUGUCAGGGAACCCAAACCUUCUCUAUCGGUUGCCUACCGUCAGGGUUGCCAAUUUAUUCCCGUCAUGCUACAUUGCCGACAUGGUUGACCUUCCGUAACGGUUAUACAGUACAAUGAAUAUUUUUUUUCAUAUAUAGGUAAGCUCAUGUAAUUAUCCAUCUACACAUACAGGAGAUAAGUUUAACAGUGAUCUGAUUUAAAGGUGUUCAUACAUCAAGUUGGUGCUGGAAUGCUUCUUCACCCAGCACACAAGUUACUACACUGCUGUUGUUACAUACAUACAGUUCACAGCACUAAGUUACAUACCAGCAGACCCCAGUUGCAAUGUCAACUAAUGUCAGCACUAAGGUUCUUGGAUGGCAAAAUGCACAGCAGCACAGUACAGCAGCUCUAAAGUGGCAAUAGGCAGCUGCUGGAUACAAACCAAAAUGUUUCAACCACAGAAAAUACUACACAAAAGACGUUUCUCUUCAAACUUGAGAGUUUCUACCAUACUGCAUGGGACCAUGAACAAAAGAUGGCAGCCAUCACCAAACAUACCAGGCAACUCAAUGACCAUCACUGUUAUUGUCCAAGUUGGCUGAAGCAUUAGAGGAUCCAUCUCCAGUCCCUCUCUAUAUCCACAGCAAGAUAAGAAAGAACAUUCAGGCAUAUUUGAAUAUUUAGUUAACAAGAAAGCUAUUUGAAUAGUCAGGCUCAAUUAUAUAUCUUGAAAAACAAUCUGAUCCAUGACAAUCUUACCAUGUCAUUUUCUUCCUCCUCAAGCAUGUCAGAUGGUAUCUCUAUCUGUACCUUUUGAGCAAUGAGCUGCAUGCAUAGAAGUACCAACAUCAUGGACUUUUUAGACCUUCAGUUGCAGAUACACAAUACAAAUAGAAUUGUACCUCAACUACGCGAUCAGUUCGUUUCACAUGACGAGUCAAAGCUGCAUUUUGUGAGUCAAGGCUGCAUUUUGUUGUGUUAAGCGUCGGUUGUUUUCAACUUGCUCCUCAUACCUUCUGAACAGAUUUUGGAAUGACCUUGAGUUUGAUGGCCUUGUCUCACUUGCCUUAGCAGCAUCAAUAAUUGAAGCCUUCUUGACAGCACCAUUUCCUAUUGCAAGGCGACCAUGGGACAAGCCACCACCAAUGUCAUAUGCAAUUCGCCCAUCAAAAGGUUGCUCUUGCCAAUUAUCUGGAUACUUUUCUUGGAGUGCAUCGUUGUAGUCAUUCUAGAAAUAACAAAAGUUAGUAGUCACAAACUAACAAGUAUACACAGAGAUGGAAACACACUUGACCUCGAAAGUAAGAAGAAUUGAACUACUUACAACUAGCUGCUGUGCCCGUUGGCUAGGAAUUGGACCCGCGUUGCCACUGCUAUCACAAUUUUUAACACCAGAUUUCAUGCAGCACUUAUAAGAUAAUGGGCUAAUGGAGUGUGAGCAAGAAGCUUACAAGAUAUUGCUGAGUCUCAACUAAUGGCCUGGAGCCACCCCUGUUUUGAGCACCGUCCGGAUUUUUUUUGCGACUUUCUUGCCUGAUCUUUCUUUUCUUCAAAUAGUCAUUAGAGCACUAGUACUUACAAAUGGACUCCCAGGCUGCUUCAGUGAUCCAGUCAGGCUUGCAACGCAUGUAUUGUUGAAAAUUAAGCAAUUUGGCACAUGCCAACUCAUCA
This is an RNA transcript of Panicum virgatum (switchgrass), 2803 nucleotides long. It is a transcript of the gene named two pore potassium channel b-like, with no coding region annotated. NCBI's taxonomy places the organism in Eukaryota, Viridiplantae, Streptophyta, Magnoliopsida, Poales, Poaceae. The record is from RefSeq and is a predicted model, not a curated record. The transcript is spliced from 3 exons.